UACGUAGGGGGCAAGCGUUAUCCGGAUUUACUGGGUGUAAAGGGAGCGUAGGCGGCUGUGUAAGCCAGAAGUGAAAGCCCGAGGCUCAACCACGGGACUGCUUUUGGAACUACAUGGCUUGAUUGCAGGAGAGGCAAGUGGAAUUCCUAGUGUAGCGGUGAAAUGCGUAGACAUUAGGAGGAACACCAGUGGCGAAGGCGGCUUGCUGGACUGUAAAUGACGCUGAGGCUCGAAAGCGUGGGGAGCAAACAGG
Molecule: ribosomal RNA, 253 nt
Filed under: uncultured bacterium
Lineage: Bacteria
Description: partial 16S ribosomal RNA
Rfam family: Bacterial small subunit ribosomal RNA
Source: RNAcentral